This 523-nucleotide ribosomal RNA is filed under the name uncultured bacterium. Its description in RNAcentral is "partial 16S ribosomal RNA". It matches the Rfam family "Bacterial small subunit ribosomal RNA", at positions 28 to 523 of the family's 1533-position model. The record is from RNAcentral.
GACGAACGCUGGCGGCGUGCCUAAUACAUGCAAGUCGAACGCUUUUUCUUUCACCGGAGCUUGCUCCACCGAAAGAAAAAGAGUGGCGAACGGGUGAGUAACACGUGGGUAACCUGCCCAUCAGAAGGGGAUAACACUUGGAAACACGUGCUAAUACCGUAUAACACUAUUUUCCGCAUGGAAGAAAGUUGAAAGGCGCUUUUGCGUCACUGAUGGAUGGACCCGCGGUGCAUUAGCUGGUUGGUGAGGUAACGGCUCACCAAGGGAACGAUGCAUAGCCGACCUGAGAGGGUGAUCGGCCACACUGGGACUGAGACACGGCCCAGACUCCUACGGGAGGUAGCAGUAGGGAAUCUUCGGCAAUGGACGAAAGUCUGACCGAGCAACGCCGCGUGAGUGAAGAAGGUUUUCGGAUCGUAAAACUCUGUUGUUAGAGAAGAACAAGGAUGAGAGUAAAACGUUCAUCCCUUGACGGUAUCUAACCAGAAAGCCACGGCUAACUACGUGCCAGCCGCCGCCGUAA